AACGAACGUUAGCGGCGCGCCUAACACAUGCAAGUCGCACGAGAAAGGGCUUCGGCCCCGGUACAGUGGCGCACGGGUGAGUAACACGUAGAUAAUCUUCCCUCGAGUGGUGGAUAACUCUCCGAAAGGAGAGCUAAUACAGCAUGAGACCACGGCUUCGUUGAAGCUGCGGCCAAAGCAGGCCUCUACACGUAAGCUUGCGUUUGAGGAUGAGUCUGCGGCCCAUCAGCUAGUUGGUAGGGUAAUGGCCUACCAAGGCUAAGACGGGUAGCUGGUCUGAGAGGAUGAACAGCCACACUGGAACUGAGACACGGUCCAGACUCCUACGGGAGGCAGCAGUGGGGAAUCUUGCGCAAUGGGCGAAAGCCUGACGCAGCGACGCCGCGUGAGCGAUGAAGGCCUUCGGGUUGUAAAGCUCUGUGGGGAGGAAAGAAUAAGGUUUGGCUAAUAUCCAAGCUGAUGACGGUACCUCCUUAGCAAGCACCGGCUAACUCUGUGCCAGCCGCCGCCGUAA
RNAcentral lists this ribosomal RNA (514 nucleotides) under uncultured bacterium. RNAcentral's name for it is "partial 16S ribosomal RNA". It matches the Rfam family "Bacterial small subunit ribosomal RNA", at positions 29 to 523 of the family's 1533-position model. The record is from RNAcentral.